GGUCCCCAGACCUGAGCCCACAACUCCUGAGGGGAAUUUAGGUUAAAAUAGAAUUUGGGACUUCCUAGUUUUUCUCUUCCCUAAACCUAUCAUUCCAAAAUACCAAAAGAAUAAAUAGAUCUUUUUAACCCAGAAGAAACUGAACAUCUUAUUCUACUAAUGUUACUAAGGGGAUCAGGAUAAUAUCUAUCAAGGGAAGAAAUUAGAAACCAGAGACCGAAGGGGAUUUCCUCCUUACCUUUCAGCUCUAGACCUUGAUUAAAUCUCUCACCUUCCCUUGUGUAGCUCUACCUAGGAGAGGAAGUAAUGUUUCCUUUUAUCUGUCCCCUCUCUCUCUUAGGCCUUUCAAACUUUGGUUCCUGAUCCCCUGCUAGCACAGUAUUAUGGAAAUAACAUGAAACAAGAGUCAAGAAACCUGAGUUUGGAUUCUGCUACAAGAAAAAGGUUUCCUGAGGGGAAGUGGUGAAGGGGAAAGGAUAUAUCUGUAGCUAAAGAAAUCAAAGCAAACAGAAGCUGUUACUUGCCUGAUAUCACCCAACUAGUAAGUGUCAAAGACUGGAUGUGAAUGCAGGUCUUUCUGAUUCUAGACUAAGCUCUAUUCACU
RNAcentral lists this long non-coding RNA (604 nucleotides) under Monodelphis domestica (gray short-tailed opossum). Its description in RNAcentral is "lncRNA (ENSMODG00000047941.1)". The record is from RNAcentral. Lineage: Eukaryota; Metazoa; Chordata; Mammalia; Didelphimorphia; Didelphidae.